CAGGGCAUUUAUAUUGCCAUUUUUCAGUAGAGAAUAUGGACUAAAGGAUUGACCUGUUGUCCCCCCUUCCCAGUUUAUUUUUUUUUCAAUUUGACAAUUUUUAUUUUUCAAAGUGAAUGGGGGGUACAGAAUGAAAAAAGGGGGAGGGGAUAGAGUCAGAUAUACAAUCAAAUAUCCAAUACAGUUAUACAAUACAGUUACUAUAUGUAGCCUGUGCUAGUUUGCGUUUCUUGUGUGCAAAAUUACCGUAUUCCUAGUGAGUGAUAUUAUUUCUGGUGUGCGGUGAUGCUAUUGGUCAAUCAUUGCAUAACACAGAGGCUUUAACAAGAGUAUAUAUAUACGUUAAGUAUUUUACUAUGAAUGCUGCGGAUGCUUUGGCUGUGGACGCAUAGGGCUACCAAUGCGACUUAUGCGGAGAUAGGCGUGUGUAUGUACUAGACAUUAUUCUAUGCUCUGUUCCCUAUAACCAUUAUUUCAUAGUCAGCCGGGUACUUUGCCCAACUGAGUAGAACCUAGGCUCUUGUUUUGCUUCCUAUUUCUGUAUUGCAUUGUUUGCACAUACUCGACUCUGUCAGGGUGAGGGGUGGAGGGGGGAGGGUGUGGUGCGGGGGUCUCUCAGAGGUGGUAUUCUCUUGCACUAUGGGGAGAAUGGUUCACGUUGGGGGAAAGUCAGUGUGCUGUUUCAUGGGGUGUCAUUUUGUGUGGGCGUGGGUAGACACUCUUUAGGUACGGCUUGUGUUGUGUGGUUGGACAGGAAAUCCGUCCACAUGACAUGGGCUUGUUUCAAGUGUUUUUUAGUGCCAAAUUGGUUCGCAAAUGCUGUUUCAUAGACCCAGUUGAGUGUCACUUGCUGUAUAAGGAGUUCCCUGGUUGGGAUUGCUACCUGUUUCCAAAACCUUGCGAUAAGUGUCGCCGCUGAUAUUAAUACGUGAUACAUGGCUGUCCACGUGGCCUUGGCAGUCCCGUCUGGGGGGAUGAAUAAAAUGCAAAGUUCUAGGGUGAGGGUCACCUGAGUACGUACAAUGUUUGAUAUGACAUUUUGGACUUCGUGCCAGAAGGGUUUGAUAUUUUCACAUGUCCACCAAACGUGUGUCAUAGUACCCCUUUGGUGUCCGCACCUCCAACAUUUGUCUGUGGAUUGCGGCCACAUGUGGUGGAUUCUGGCUGGAACUAGGUACCAACGGUACAGCAGUUUGCGCUGUAGCUCCAGAUGGGUGGCACAGGAAGUUAUUCCCCUAUGUGAGGUGUAUGCCUUGUCCCAUUUGUCCUUUGUUAUGGAUCUACCUAGUUCUGAAUGCCAGGAUUGUAUAUGUGUGUCUUUGGUUGUGUCUGCCUUCUGUAAUAGUAGGCUGUAGUUUAUGGAUAUUAGUUUUUUUAGCAGUUUUCUGUGCGUGCACAGAAGUUCAAAUUCAGAUAGGUGCUCUCGGGCGUUAGCGUUGUUGGCGUUGGGUUUGUUCUGAGAUAGGCAUGAUUUGAUCUGCAAGUAAGGGAAAAUCAGUCUGGAGGAAAGAUUGUACUCCCUCUGAAUGUCUGGGAAUGGACGGAGUUUGCCUCCCUCAUACAGCUGUCCCACUUCAGUUAUCCCCCCUUGUUGCCAUGGUUUUUUGUCCCAUGUUGGUAUUAGGGUGGCCAGGACUUCUAGCGGGGUAGCUAGAGGCACAGGGAGGUAAUGAACUAGGUGGUGCCUGGAGGCGUCCCAGUGGUGCAGUAUGUGUUGCGUUGUGGGUAGUAGAUGCGUGGUGUCCUGUCUGUGGGGCUUUGGGGUCCAGAACAACAUUUGCAGCGUUGAAGGUGCUGCCCAGUGGUUUUCUAUAUGGAGCCACUGUGGUGACGUUGGUUGUGGUCUUAGUUGCGGCACUAUUGUUAGUGCCGCCGCUUUGUAGUAUGCAGUUAUGUCAGGGAGACCUAACCCACCCUGUUUUUGGUGCCUUUGUAGGAGUUUCGUCGCAACCCUAGGCUUCUUAUUACUCCAUGUGAAGGCUGUUAGUUGUUGCGAAAGUGAUUUCAGGAAGGUUCCUGGGACGGGGAUUUGCAGUGUUCUAUAUAGAUAUUGCAGUUUCGGUAAUAGGGACAUUUUGAUGGCCGCUAUGCGGCCCACCCAAGACAAGUAUUUCCCCUCCCAUGACUGUAGUGUGUUUUUUAGGGUGUUAGCUAGGGGUAUGUAGUUGGUUUUGAACAGUGUGGCGGGGUUUUUUGUCAUUUUCACUCCUAGAAAGGUUAGGUAGUGAUCCCUCCAAUCUAGGGGGAACGAAUCCUUAAGGAGCGCCAUAUGUUUGUUGGGUAUGUUGAUCCCCAAUGCUUGUGUCUUAGAGACGUUUAGUUUGUAGUAGGAUAGGAGGCCAUAUGUUGUGAUGUGUUUCAUUAGGUUUGGCAGGGAUAUUAGUGGUUGCGUCAAUGUAAGAAAGACAUCGUCAGCGAAUAUACUCAAUUUAUAUUCCCGUUGGUGCAGGGCUACUCCGUGUAUGGAUGCAUCUGCCCGUAUUCUAGCUGCUAGGGGUUCUAGUGCUAGGACGUAGAGUAGUGGGGAUAAGGGACACCCCUGUCUAGAACCAUUGGUGAUUGUGAACUUGUCAGAACAAAAUCCCGCGUUUAACACUUUUGCUGUUGGGCAGCUGUAUAAGGCCUCCACUAUGUUGAUAAAAUGGCUAGGGAAGCAUAUUCUCAUCAAGACUCUUUUCAGGAAUCCCCAGUUUAAUCUGUCGAAGGCCUUCUCUGCAUCUAAGGACACGAGAAGGCCUCCCACGUUCGACCUCCGUAUGGAGUGUAUGAGGUUCAGUACUUUCCGGGUGUUAUCUGCCCCUUGCCUCCCUGCUACGAACCCUACUUGGUCGUCGUGUAUCAGGGAGGGAAGGAUGGUGCCCAGCCUCUUGGCAUAGACUUUCGCUAAUAAUUUGGCAUCUGUGUUAAGUAGCGAUAUGGGUCUGAAGUUGGGGCAGUGUGUUGGGGGUUUACCUGGUUUCAGGAGCGUUAUAAUAUGUGCUAACAACAGCUCCUCAGGGAGCUUUUUCUCCUGGACAGCUGAGUUGAAUAGCUGGGCUAGGGGGUUUGCAAGGGUUGAUUUGAAUUUUUUGUAAUACAGAUUUGUGAACCCGUCUGGGCCCGGGGCUUUGUUGGUGGGAAGGGAUUGUAUGGCUUCCUCUACUUCUGUGUUUGUGACUGGCUGCUGUAGUGUGGCCACCUGGUCUGCGGUGAGGGUCUGUAGUGGAGUGUCUUGAAGAUAGGUUGUGAUUUCCUGGUUGUUCGGUACCUGCAGUUGGUUUGAGUGUGUUAGGUUAUACAGUUGCUGGUAGUAGUUUGCAAACGCAUUGCUUAUUUCUAUGGGGGAUACAACCUUUGUGUUGUUGGCUGUGUAUACAUAUGGUAUUUUGGCGUUUGUCUCUACUUUCUUCAGCUUAGUUGCUAGUAUUCUACUGGCUCUGUUGCCCUGGGUGUAGUGUGUGGCUUUUAGUUUUCGGAGGUUGUAUCCGACUUGUUGCAGAGUGUGUGUUUUGAUUUUUUCCGAUAUGUCCUUAAUUCUUUGUUGUGUGUCCGCAGUUGGUUGGGUUUUGUUUUUGUGUGUGAGGUCUGACAGCUGUUUGUGCCAGGCUAUCCAGCUGGCUCGCCGUGUUUUUUGCGUGUGAGAGGCCUGCUUGAUGAGGAGCCCUCUGAUUACAGACUUGUGUGCCUGCCAUGUAGUGCUAAUAGAGGUGUCUUCUGGUUUGUUCAGAGUGAAAAAGUCGUCGAUGGCCUUCUGUAUUGUGUCCGUAAAGGAGUUGUCUGUUAGUAGGGACUCGUUAAGUCUCCAGGGGCUUUUGUGUUUAUAGUCAUAGCUAUCCUUAAGGGUUAGGGUUUGAGGGGCGUGGUCCGACCACGAGAUGGCGCCUAUAGAACAUUCCAGCACUUGGUCUAGGUGACGGCCCUCAAUAUGGAACCUGUCUAUUCUAGUGUAUGUGUUGUGUGCGGCGGAGAAAUAUGUGUAGUCUUUGUCUUGUGGGUGUAGGACUCUCCACACAUCAUACAGCCCCCGUUCCUCUAGUAGUUUUAGGUGGUUCGUGCAGGCUGUCUGCUGUCUGGAGCUUGUCGUGUGGGGGGUUUGGGUCGUAGUAUCCAUGUUAGGAUCUAGGAUGUGGUUGAAGUCCCCGCACAAAACCAGUAUUCCUUCUUGUGGUGGGCGAAGGAGAGACAGGAUUCUGUGUAGGAAGUUCCUUUGGUUUGUGUUUGGGGCAUAUGCGUUGGCAAUCGUGUAUUUGUUAUUGUUGAUCGUGCACCCUAGUAUGAGGUAGCGGCCCUCCGGGUCUGUUCUCAGAGAGUGGUAUUGGAAGGAGACCUGGCUGCUAAUUAGUAUUGAUACGCCCUUAGUUUUGUGUCCUGAUGUGGCAUGAUACUGGUGUGGGAAUUGUGACGGUUUGAUUUGUGGUGUUGUCUUGAAAUGUGUUUCUUGGAGGCACAGUACGUCUGGUUGUGUCUGUUUAAAAUCCCUAAGUAAACAGUGUCGUUUAUAUGGGGUGUUUAGUCCCCUAACAUUGUGGCUUUGUAUUUUCAUACAGUUGAUGGGGUUGGUGUCUGUCUGUUAUUAUUGUGGAUUCGGCCUCUAGUGUACGUGCCCUUUGGGUCGUCUCCGUGGGUGUUUUUACGUGUCUUUCCCUUUGGUCUGGGUGGUUUUUCCCCCUCAGGGUCUGAGCGUUCACGGAAGGUAAGUCUUUCCUUAGGCUUUUGGUAAGAUACUCUAAAUACUCCCUGCAGUGCUCGCAAGUUAUAGUACUCUCUUCCAGAGAGGUUGGGGGGGGGGGGUAGGAGAAGGGGGGGAAUAGGGGAAACCGUGCCGUGAGUGGACGGUUAACAAGAAGAACUGUAGUAAAGCCCGGUUUGGGGCUACGUAACUGUACAGUAGUACCAUGUGGGAGCGUGGUACUUAAGAGUUUGGAUAACAUAGGUAACCCGGCCUAAUUGUCGCUGUGACCACAUGCUCAGUGUGAGUGGUGCUUGACCCCUUCUUAGCCCGGUGUCUCUGGGCAUCUAUUUGGGUUCUGGGGGCCGUUUGCGACAUCAUAUAGCCUUAACCUUUCCCUGCUCUUAACAAUAUUCAACAUAAAAAACUGUAACAUUAACAGUGGGUUCUGCCGACUCAUUUCUCCAGCCGGAGCUUUAGUGUGUGUAAGCCAAUGAAGUGUGGGCAUUUGAGUUCCGCUAUCGCGGGUACAUAGUGGUGUAUGUCAGCGUGUGUGAGUGUGUGGGCGGUGUGUGGUUUGUGUAUGGGGUAUCACCCCAAUAGACUUACAACGGUUGGUCUGCAUGUCUCCUGUUAAAGUUCUGCAUGUGGCGUUGCACCAUCAUAGUCCAUGGUUGGUGCUGCAAUUCCAACACGUUGCGUUGGCUAAAAGUUCGUGUUGGGUAGAGACCGAUUAGGCCGUAACUCGUUGGGUGGAGGUUGGUGUAGUGAGACUGAGGUAAACUUCUCCCGGUUCGGGCGGCCUCUUCCUCGCUCAGGUGCGUGCUUUCUUCCAUUCAGGCUGGAUUCUGGUGGGUUGUGUCUUGCUGUUUCCUUGUGGUUGCGUUUGGAUACCCCAUCUUUUCAGGGUUUUCCUUCCCUCGUCUGGGGUGGUGAUGGUGUGGAUUGCCCCAUUCCUGUGCACCAGUAAGCGAACCGGGUGGCCCCAGCGGUAUUGUACCCCCUGUUGUCGCAGAGCAUCAGUGACCUCUUUAAACUCUCUCCUCUUCUGCAGGGUGAGAGCGGAAAGGUCUGUGUAGAUUUGUAUUGCUUGGUAUUUCUCAGGGAGGUGUUUGUUCUGUCUGGAGGCUUUCAUCAGAGCCUCUUUAGCAUGGAAAUAAUGCAUGUGGGUGAGAAUGUCUCUGGGGGCUUCCUCCGGUAAAAAUUUCGGUUUGGCGACUCUGUGUGCCCUGUCCAUAAGUAGGACAUCUGCGGGUAAGUCAGGAGCCAGGAUUUUGAAAUACUCCGUGAGAUACUCUGUUAUUUCUGGUUGUUUCACCGAUUCAGGGAUGCCUCUCAGGCGUAUGUUCUGCCUUCUGGACCUGUCUUCGAGAUCCAUAAGUUUUGUUUGGCAGGUUUCCAGCGUGUGUUCUAUUCUUUGGACGUGAUCCGCCAUGUCAUUGUGGGCCUCCGCAUAUUCCCCCAUGCGGUGUUCCAUGCGGGCUGUCCGCUCUCCUAGUUCCUGGACAUCCUUUCGUAGGUCAGCUAUGGAGCUGUUAAAGCUUUUAAGCAAUUUGGAUGCCAUCUCCUCCAGGCACGUUUGUAGAAUUGCCUGUGUUACUGGCUGGUCUCUGGAGCCUGGGGAGUCCUGCAGCGGGAUGGUGUCGUCGCCAUCUUGCUCCUCCUCGACGGGGAUCAGGGUUUUAGGUGUCUGAUUGCGGGCUGCAAAGAACCCGGGUUUGUCCCCUUUCUCGCAGGGCUUCUUCCCCUUAUGUUGGGCCAUCGUGGGGCUAUGUUUGUGAGGGGUUUGCUGGUCUGGGUCGCUGUGAUAGUCGCUGAUUUAGGCCGGUUUUGGACGGAGCGUUACUCACAUGCGACCGUCCGCGCCAUUAGUCAGGCCACGCCCCCCCCCCUUCCCAGUUUAAAUAGUCAAAACUUUUUCAAAUGGUUUGACUUCUUACCUGAUUCCGCCAGGUGUAGCUUCUUACCUUCAAUACCACCAAAGAGCUAUAAUCUAUCUGCCUGAGCUAAGCUCGGCAGUGCAGGGCUCAGUUCACUGGCUGAGGGUGAUCAGCUGACACUCUAAGCCAAUGGGCUAGCCAUGAACUACAGGUGACAGUUCGGGGGAGAUAGCGGAUGUUCCUCUUUGGUGGUCGUAGUACAAGUAGGAAGCAGGGAGAUCCUCACACCAUAACUACUACCUAGUGCUGUUGGGGUUAUGGUACUUGGAGUGUUAACUCUUACCUGGUGGACAUUUUUAUAAAAUAUAAGUUCAUGUCAAUUAAAAGUAUUCAAGUCAACGUCAAUGAGGACCAACAUUUUUUGCUAUAGGUUAAUCAAUCAAUUAUAUAGUUAAUCAUUAUCAAUUAUAAAAUUCCUAUUACCUUCUGACCGAAAUUUAACUGGCAUCAUGGGAAAUGUACGUGUAAUAUGCCAAAGACGAGCCAUCAAUGAUGCUCAACAUAGGUAAUAGCUAAAAAUGUCUG
Pelobates cultripes (western spadefoot toad) is the source of this 7113-nucleotide non-coding RNA. Lineage: Eukaryota; Metazoa; Chordata; Amphibia; Anura; Pelobatidae. The record is from the annotation of a GenBank genome assembly.